UACGGAGGGGGCGAGCGUUGUUCGGAAUUACUGGGCGUAAAGGGCGCGUAGGUAGCGAGAUCAGUCAGGCGUGAAAGCCCCGGGCUCAACCUGGGAUGUGCGUUUGAUACUGUCUUGCUAGAGACCGGAAGAGGAUGGCGGAAUACCCAGUGUAGAGGUGAAAUUUGUAGAUAUUGGGUGGAACACCAGUGGCGAAGGCGGCCAUCUGGUCCGGAUCUGACGCUGAGGCGCGAAAGCGUGGGGAGCAAACAGG
This 253-nucleotide ribosomal RNA is filed under the name uncultured bacterium. Its description in RNAcentral is "partial 16S ribosomal RNA". It matches the Rfam family "Bacterial small subunit ribosomal RNA", at positions 524 to 776 of the family's 1533-position model. The record is from RNAcentral.